Molecule: ribosomal RNA, 492 nt
Filed under: uncultured bacterium
Lineage: Bacteria
Description: partial 16S ribosomal RNA
Rfam family: Bacterial small subunit ribosomal RNA
Source: RNAcentral
AGUGAACGCUGGCGGUAGGCCUAACACAUGCAAGUCGAACGGCAGCACAGUAAGAGCUUGCUCUUACGGGUGGCGAGUGGCGGACGGGUGAGGAAUACAUCGGAAUCUACUUUUUCGUGGGGGAUAACGUAGGGAAACUUACGCUAAUACCGCAUACGACCUACGGGUGAAAGCAGGGGAUCUUCGGACCUUGCGCGAUUGAAUGAGCCGAUGUCGGAUUAGCUAGUUGGCGGGGUAAAGGCCCACCAAGGCGACGAUCCGUAGCUGGUCUGAGAGGAUGGUCAGCCACACUGGAAGUUGAACAGCGUCCAGACUCCUACGGGAGGCAGCAGUGGGGAAUAUUGGACAAUGGGCGCAAGCCUGAUCCAGCCAUACCGCGUGGGUGAAGAAGGCCUUCGGGUUGUAAAGCCCUUUUGUUGGGAAAGAAAAGCAGCAGGUUAAUACCCCGCUGUUCUGACGGUACCCAAAGAAUAAGCACCGGCUAACUUCGUG